Molecule: long non-coding RNA, 2282 nt
Organism: Bombina bombina (fire-bellied toad)
Lineage: Eukaryota; Metazoa; Chordata; Amphibia; Anura; Bombinatoridae
Exons: 2
Source: RefSeq, a predicted model, not a curated record
UAAACUGGAAAGUUGUUUAAAAUUGCAUGUUCUGUUCGAAUCAUGAAAGUUUAAUGUUGACUUUACUGUCCCUUUAAUGUCACAAUGGGGUGGAAGUCUAGAGAGAAUGUACCGAGAAUGUGGAUUAAACUGUUUUGUUUUUAGGGCAAGAAGUCUGUAUUUGACCACUAAAAUUAUAACUAAAUGGUUAACAAGAUAGUCUACUGCACUUACAGUAAUGAGCUGCUGAAAAAUGAAUGUCAUUUUAGAGGGAUACCAUUAGUAGUACAUAUAGAUGACAUGCAGAAAUAACCAGUGCCUUUUGGAUUGUUUAUUGAAUUUGUAAGUGGCAUUUUUAGUGUCAAAUUUACCUUUGUCCACUCAGUGUGAUAUAUGCAUAUGUACUCAAAUAUGUAUAUCUUUAAAGGGAUACUGAACCCAUGCAAUUUUAAUUAAUUUUCUAAUUUACUCCUAUUAUCCAAUCUUCUUUGUUCUCUUGCUAUCUUUAUUUGAAAAAGCAAGAAUGUAAGCAUAGGAAGCCAGCCCAUUUUUAGUUCUGCACCCUGGACAGCGCUUGCUGAUUAGUAGCUACAUUUAGCAACCUAGGUGCUGGACCAAAAAUGGGCCGGCUCCUAAGCUUACAUUCUUGCUUUUUCAAAUAAAGAUAGCAAGAGAACGAAGAAAAAAAGAUAAUAGGAGUAAAUGAGAACUUUGCUUAAAAUUGCGUGCUCUGUCUGAACCAUGAAAGAAAAAUUGUGUGUUUAGUAUCCCUUUAAUAUUUAAAUGCUGAUUUACUUCUCUUCAAAAAUGUGCUGGGAGACCCGAUCCUUCCUAAGCAACUGGUUUGGGCAAAAUUCACCACAAUUAGAAAGUCUCCAAAGCACAGUUUCCUUGGCUUUUCAUUGCACUGAUGUACUAGGAACUCUCUUUCUUAAUUAUAUAAAGGGAUCUUGAAUAGAUGAUUAGAUUCACACAUUGGGUCUGUUAAUAUAACUAUACAACUAGAUCAUUUUCAAUUAAUGUAGUGAUGAUCAUAUUAAACCCUUAUGCUUUGGCUGAGGUUUAUUCGCAUAUUGAUUUUGUUUGUGUUGUGUAAACAUGAAUUGAUAAAAACAAACUUGAGUAAUUUAUUAUAUUGUAACUUAGGUAAUAUUUCCUACAUCAAUCUCCAAAUCGUUACUCGGCACUGGACUUUUGUUUAAAUGAGUAGAAAAUAUAUGUGAUGCAGUAAUAGGCACGACGAGUAUAUCUGCUUGGUUUCAGGGGAAGCCUGGAGCAUUUUGUGUAACCAUGCACGGUAAGUCAUUCAGGCAGUAAUGAAUAUAGAAAGCAGCAUGACGUUUCUGCUGCCUUUUUUUAACUUAGCCAUACUCUCAGGAGCUCUUAUGUGUCUGGUUGUUUUUUAUGUGAUACUUGCACUAAAGUUUCAUUGUAUUGAAUAACUCAUGGGUAUAUGAACCUCUUUUGAGUUCAACUUCUUCUAUUUCUAGUCAAUAUGACCUCGCCAUACAGCUUAUGGUAAAUAUUAACCUUAAAGACACGCUAAAGUAAACAUAAAUUCUGUUUUUUAAAUGUGCUUUGUUCUUUUGUUAUCCUUUGUUAAAGAGUAGGCUCAAAAGCAGUAAUUAGCUACUUGGAGCUAGCUGAACACAUCUGGCAAGCUAAUAAGAGGAUUAUGGGUGCAUCCACCAAUCACCAGCUAGCUCUGAACCUUUUAGUUAUGGUCAUCAACAAAAGAUUCAAAGAGCAUAAAGCACAUUAUUAGAUAAUAGAGGUAAAUUGAAAGUUGUUUUAAAUUGCAUUCUCUAUUUGAUGAAAAGUUAAUUAUGACUUUACAGUAAAAUAAACCUGUUUCUUUUCCUACUCAUUUUCUCUAAAUGCGACCAUUUAUUGCAUUGUAAACAGGGAUAUUACACUGCCAGUUUACUGAAUGAAUUACAUUUAUGUGUAUUUGUGUUUAUGCAGGCAUUUGUUGAAUAUAAAACAUUAACUGAUAUUUUGUUUAUUGACAGUGUGUCUAUUUUUGGGAAAGUCCAGAGCUAGUUUGAACUGUCAUACUUGCUCACGACAUAGCAAAUCAUUAAACCAAUUAUAUAAGGUUAAAAAAAAAAAUUGCACCUUUCAUAGCUUAUUGUACUUGUCAAUGAUUUUAAACGUUUUUUUCUUAUAUUGGCAAGCAGCAAACAAGCAAAUGCCAAAACUGGAGGACAAUUUGUAAAUGAUUAAAUGCAUUAUUUCCUGAAAAGAAAAAAUGACAAUGGAACGUAAUUGGCAAUUAAAUAAUAAAAUUCUAUAUACCAGAA